CCGUAACUAUAACGGUCCUAAGGUAGCGAAAUUCCUUGUCGGGUAAGUUCCGACCUGCACGAAUGGCGUAAUGAUGGCCAGGCUGUCUCCACCCGGGACUCAGUGAAAUUGAACUCGCUGUGAAGAUGCAGUGUACCCGCGGCAAGACGGAAAGACCCCGUGAACCUUUACUAUAGCUUGACACUGAACACUGGUCCUUGAUGUGCAGGAUAGGUGGGAGGCUUUGAAGUGUGGACGCCAGUCUGCAUGGAGCCGUCCUUGAAAUACCACCCUUUAAUGGCUGGUGUUCUAACGUAGACCCGUGAACCGGGUUGCGGACAGUGUCUGGUGGGUAGUUUGACUGGGGCGGUCUCCUCCUAAAGCGUAACGGAGGAGCACGAAGGUUGGCUAAUCCUGGUCGGACAUCAGGAGGUUAGUGCAAUGGCAUAAGCCAGCUUGACUGCGAGCGUGACGGCGCGAGCAGGUGCGAAAGCAGGUCAUAGUGAUCCGGUGGUUCUGAAUGGAAGGGCCAUCGCUCAACGGAUAAAAGGUACUCCGGGGAUAACAGGCUGAUACCGCCCAAGAGUUCAUAUCGACGGCGGUGUUUGGCACCUCGAUGUCGGCUCAUCACAUCCUGGGGCUGAAGUAGGUCCCAAGGGUAUGGCUGUUCGCCAUUUAAAGUGGUACGCGAGCUGGGUUUAGAACGUCGUGAGACAGUUCGGUCC
This 704-nucleotide ribosomal RNA is filed under the name Salmonella enterica. RNAcentral describes it as "partial 23S ribosomal RNA". It matches the Rfam family "Bacterial large subunit ribosomal RNA", at positions 1934 to 2637 of the family's 2925-position model. Lineage: Bacteria; Pseudomonadati; Pseudomonadota; Gammaproteobacteria; Enterobacterales; Enterobacteriaceae. The record is from RNAcentral.